ACGAAGGGUGCAAACGUUGCUCGGAAUCAUUGGGCGUAAAGCGCACGUAGGCGGCUUUGCAAGUCGGACGUGAAAUCCCUCAGCUCAACUGAGGAAGUGCAUCCGAAACUGCAAGGCUUGAGUACUGAAGAGGAUCGCGGAAUUCCCGGUGUAGAGGUGAAAUUCGUAGAUAUCGGGAGGAACACCAGUGGCGAAGGCGGCGAUCUGGGCAGAUACUGACGCUGAGGUGCGAAAGCGUGGGGAGCAAACAGGA
RNAcentral lists this ribosomal RNA (253 nucleotides) under uncultured prokaryote. RNAcentral's name for it is "partial 16S ribosomal RNA". It matches the Rfam family "Bacterial small subunit ribosomal RNA", at positions 525 to 777 of the family's 1533-position model. The record is from RNAcentral.